This 71-nucleotide transfer RNA is filed under the name Chelonia mydas (Green sea turtle). It matches the Rfam family "tRNA". From Rfam's summary of the family: Transfer RNA (tRNA) molecules are approximately 80 nucleotides in length. Their secondary structure includes four short double-helical elements and three loops (D, anti-codon, and T loops). The record is from Rfam by way of RNAcentral. Lineage: Eukaryota; Metazoa; Chordata; Testudines; Cheloniidae.
GGCAGUGUGAUCUAAUGGGUAGGAUACUGGACUAGAAAUUGGGAGACCUGAUUCUAUUCCCAGCUCUGCCA